Molecule: non-coding RNA, 2181 nt
Organism: Sesamum indicum (sesame)
Lineage: Eukaryota; Viridiplantae; Streptophyta; Magnoliopsida; Lamiales; Pedaliaceae
Source: RefSeq, a predicted model, not a curated record
UCUUUCUCUCCCUCUCUCUAGGGUUUUGUUUUUCAUCGAUGCACGAAAAAUUCCCCAAUUGGUCGUAUCUAUUCGAUCGAAAUGGAAAAUGGUGGCGGAGAUUUGGAGGCGAAAAUUGAGAUGUUGCUGAAUGUGGAGAAGCAGAUGAGGCAAGUGGGUGAUGUUGCAGGUACGAGGAAGGCCGUCACACCUCUUGCAAUUCUUCUUCUCACACCUCAAACAAUACCCCUCAUUUUCUCCCUCCAAGAAAGCCAAAGCCGGCGAAGGAGAGACGCCGCAGUUCCGUCCUCCCACCGCCAAAAUACCCUCACCCAACCCCACCAUCAAACCAUUUCCCUUGUCCUCUGUUCACUUCUUCGAGGAAAAAAGUUAAAGAAAGCAGGUGAAGUUCAUGGUGGUAUGGCCGAGUCAAAGGUUCGAAUGUGAUGGUACGGCAGCACCUGCGGGAGAAGCAGCUGCGAAUGUGGGUACAAAUCCAAGAAAGGAAAACCCCGCUGAAUAGACUAAAGAAAACCAAGAAAAGCAGGGGGGAGAGACAGAGCGAGGAGGAGGCCUCAAAUUAUGGUUUGGGAUUACACUGGUUUUGGAUAUACAAGGUACAAUGCCAGAGACAUUAACAAAGAAAUACUAGGGUGUCAUUGCUAAGAGGAUAUAAAUCAGACAGGAGACCUGCAAACUCGACAAUGAUGGCAAUUCUGGAUGGCUUUCAGAAGGCAUAUUCCGUUGAUUUCAGACCACUCAAUGCACUGCGCCCUGCUGCCUUCCAAGGGGCUCAUUAUAUUUCACCAUUGAAAAGGCAAAUAAUCUCGUAUGCAUCUGGUAACCAAGCUUGUACACUCGUUUAAGGAAGGUUCGGAGGAAUGGUCCAAGAAGGCGGUAGAGCUUGAGGAUUCAUGAAGACUUUAGACGUAAGUUCUAUUUGUAAUUUAUUUAUCCAACAAUGGCGAAUGAUGCACAGUACACUAAUUCCUCUUGUGAACAUGCAGUUUGGUUGUGGAAUUUCAAAAUUAUCUGUUUGUCUUAUGUCUUCAUGCAUGCUGGACGCGAAUGGAAGGUGUAUGAGGUGGCAAAGACGGUCUUUGGAAACAAUGACACAGAAACUAGAAAGUCUUUGCAAAGUGAUAAUGGUGUUACAUUUGCUACACUUGGUGAGAACACCAGAUGAUGUCCCUGGAUGUGCUUCUUAGUGCUGGUGUUCCGUGGUGCAGCUCGAGAAUUUGUUGUCACUUCCCAAGAGCUUAUCACUCGGGGUUUAGUCCUGGAUAUUAUUGUGGAGAUGCUGCUGAUAUGGCUAAUAUUGAAUCGUCGAGUGUUGCAAGAGAAGCUGCAAUACAUAGUGCAGCUAUUAGGUGUCCUCCAAUGGUGUCUCGCUUCCAGUUAUCAUAUGAUCUUGCAGUCUCGUUAUGUUCUAGGCAAUGCUUUCUGGUGAACCAACUAUUGUUGAUGCUGUUGCUGCUUGGCUGAAAGCUAUAGUUACUAGGAACCCAAAAGCAAUGAUCCGACUAUACAGUACAGGCACAUUUUCUUUUGCUCUGGCUUACCCUGGAUCUAAUCUUCUUCCAAUUGCCCAACUCUUCUCAAUGACUCAUGUUUAUCAAGCUUUUCAUGGUGGUGAGGAAGCUGCAGUUUCCUCUUCUCUACCUUUGGCGAAAUGAAGUGUUUUGGGCGGCCUCUUACCUGAGUCAUUGCUUUAUGUACUGGAACGUAGCGGCCCAGUUGCUUUUGCCGCAGCAAUGGUUUCUGAUUCUCACACUCCUGAGAUUAUUUGGACACACAAGAUGCGAGCAGAAAAUCUGAUCCGUCAGUAAUGUGGAGAGAAGAGUUAACUCGAAGGCCAAUGGACCUUUCUGAAGAAGAAGCUUGCAAGAUACUAGAGAUUUCCAUUGAUGAAGUAUCCAGAGACGACGCCCCUAAGAAACCAAGUUUUGAGUCAGUUGAGGAGAUACCUGAUAUAUCAAAGCAGAUUGAGUAUAUUGAUGAGGAAAAGCUCAAGAGACAGUAUAGGAAACUUGCAAUGAAGUAUCAUUCAGACAAAAAUCCUAAAGGGAGGGAGAAGUUUCUGGCAGUGCAGAAUGCUUAUGAGUGCUUGCAGGUAUGCCAAAUUCCUUGAUCCUGUGUGAGGAUCUGUCGUUACUCAUAAAAAACGGAGACUAUAUGAUUAAGCUUGAGCAAAAGAAAGAA